CGGACGGGUGAGUAACGCGUGGAUAACCUGCCUCACACAGGGGGAUAACAGUUAGAAAUGACUGCUAAUACCGCAUAAGCGCACAGGGCCGCAUGGCCCGGUGUGAAAAACUCCGGUGGUGUAAGAUGGACCCGCGUCUGAUUAGCUUGUUGGCGGGGUAGAGGCCCACCAAGGCGACGAUCAGUAGCCGGCCUGAGAGGGUGGACGGCCACAUUGGGACUGAGACACGGCCCAAACUCCUACGGAAGGCAGCAG
This 255-nucleotide ribosomal RNA is filed under the name uncultured bacterium. RNAcentral's name for it is "partial 16S ribosomal RNA". It matches the Rfam family "Bacterial small subunit ribosomal RNA", at positions 99 to 354 of the family's 1533-position model. The record is from RNAcentral.